This 1400-nucleotide ribosomal RNA is filed under the name Staphylococcus pseudoxylosus. RNAcentral describes it as "bacterial SSU rRNA". It matches the Rfam family "Bacterial small subunit ribosomal RNA". Lineage: Bacteria; Bacillati; Bacillota; Bacilli; Caryophanales; Staphylococcaceae. The record is from RNAcentral.
GAGCGAACAGAUAAGGAGCUUGCUCCUUUGACGUUAGCGGCGGACGGGUGAGUAACACGUGGGUAACCUACCUAUAAGACUGGGAUAACUUCGGGAAACCGGAGCUAAUACCGGAUAACAUUUGGAACCGCAUGGUUCUAAAGUGAAAGAUGGUUUUGCUAUCACUUAUAGAUGGACCCGCGCCGUAUUAGCUAGUUGGUAAGGUAACGGCUUACCAAGGCAACGAUACGUAGCCGACCUGAGAGGGUGAUCGGCCACACUGGAACUGAGACACGGUCCAGACUCCUACGGGAGGCAGCAGUAGGGAAUCUUCCGCAAUGGGCGAAAGCCUGACGGAGCAACGCCGCGUGAGUGAUGAAGGGUUUCGGCUCGUAAAACUCUGUUAUUAGGGAAGAACAAAUGUGUAAGUAACUGUGCACAUCUUGACGGUACCUAAUCAGAAAGCCACGGCUAACUACGUGCCAGCAGCCGCGGUAAUACGUAGGUGGCAAGCGUUAUCCGGAAUUAUUGGGCGUAAAGCGCGCGUAGGCGGUUUCUUAAGUCUGAUGUGAAAGCCCACGGCUCAACCGUGGAGGGUCAUUGGAAACUGGGAAACUUGAGUGCAGAAGAGGAAAGUGGAAUUCCAUGUGUAGCGGUGAAAUGCGCAGAGAUAUGGAGGAACACCAGUGGCGAAGGCGACUUUCUGGUCUGUAACUGACGCUGAUGUGCGAAAGCGUGGGGAUCAAACAGGAUUAGAUACCCUGGUAGUCCACGCCGUAAACGAUGAGUGCUAAGUGUUAGGGGGUUUCCGCCCCUUAGUGCUGCAGCUAACGCAUUAAGCACUCCGCCUGGGGAGUACGACCGCAAGGUUGAAACUCAAAGGAAUUGACGGGGACCCGCACAAGCGGUGGAGCAUGUGGUUUAAUUCGAAGCAACGCGAAGAACCUUACCAAAUCUUGACAUCCUUUGAAAACUCUAGAGAUAGAGCCUUCCCCUUCGGGGGACAAAGUGACAGGUGGUGCAUGGUUGUCGUCAGCUCGUGUCGUGAGAUGUUGGGUUAAGUCCCGCAACGAGCGCAACCCUUAAGCUUAGUUGCCAUCAUUAAGUUGGGCACUCUAGGUUGACUGCCGGUGACAAACCGGAGGAAGGUGGGGAUGACGUCAAAUCAUCAUGCCCCUUAUGAUUUGGGCUACACACGUGCUACAAUGGACAAUACAAAGGGCAGCUAAACCGCGAGGUCAUGCAAAUCCCAUAAAGUUGUUCUCAGUUCGGAUUGUAGUCUGCAACUCGACUACAUGAAGCUGGAAUCGCUAGUAAUCGUAGAUCAGCAUGCUACGGUGAAUACGUUCCCGGGUCUUGUACACACCGCCCGUCACACCACGAGAGUUUGUAACACCCGAAGCCGGUGGAGUAACCAUUUA